This 483-nucleotide ribosomal RNA is filed under the name Triticum aestivum (bread wheat). RNAcentral describes it as "partial small subunit ribosomal RNA". The record is from RNAcentral. Lineage: Eukaryota; Viridiplantae; Streptophyta; Magnoliopsida; Poales; Poaceae.
AUGAAAACAGUGGAAAGAACAUUUGAGGUGGGAGACUUGGUAUACCUGAAAAUUGCACCAUACAGGCUCACUGCCUUUGGGUUCAUAGGAGCUCUUGAACUACAAAACAAGUACUAUGGACCAUUCCUAAUAAGUCAGAAAAUUGGCAAAUAUGCAUAUAAGUUACAAUUCUCUGAUGAAGUCAAGAUCCACCCAGUUUUUCACGUGAGCCAGCUCAAGAAGCAUAUUGGACCUAAGUCUAUUCCUGGUCCUUAUCUGCCAAUGGUAAAUGAAGAUGGCACUAUAAAAACUAGACCAGAAGCUGUUCUACAAGUUCGACAAGUGCCCAGACACAACAUGCCAGUGGUUCAGUGCUUCAUUCAGUGGCAAAAGUUAUCGCCAGAAGAAGCGACAUGGGAGGAUGCAUAUUUCAUCAAAUACACUUUCCCUAAGUUCUUCAAAGAGACUACCCAAGCUUGGCGUGCGGCUGGACAAACAACGUGA